UCAGAGUAAUGCUCAAAGUUCCACAACACUUGUUCCUGCAAUCAUUACAUUUGGCGAUUCCGCUGUGGAUGUAGGAAAUAAUGACUAUAUUCACACUCUUUUUAAGGCUAAUUAUCCACCUUAUGGAAGGGAUUUUGUUAGUCAUCAACCUACUGGUAGAUUCUGCAAUGGAAAAUUAGCCACUGAUAUCACUGGUAAGUUGUUUGCUUCCAGGUUUGAAAUUUACUGACUCGACUAAUUUGUACUGUAUAGUGUUUAGUAUUGAGAAUUAAGAAAUGAUUCUUUUUUAGCAUUGUAACACGCUGCACAGCUUUUACAGCCAAGAACAGAGUCAUAGUAAUAGUAAUUAUGCUCGACACAGGGGCAGAGCCAUGUACGACCUAGGAGUUCAUGCGAACCCAGCUCUAUCUAUACAUGGCUGAGAAUAUUUUAUAUAUAUAUAUAUAUAUAUAUGUAGUAGUUGAACUCCCUUCGACUUCUUUAUGUGUUUGUUUCUUCAUAUUUUGAACCCCUGAGGUGAAUAUGCCGCCACUAGUUCGACUCGACCAGUGACUUCAGCUAAAACCAUAUAUGCAUAUUAAGAGAAAAGAUCUAUCUAGAACGUAUUAAAUUAAAAAAAGUAUUGAGUUGGAACUCAUAUUCUGAAAAUCCUAGCUUAGCCUCUGAUUAUUUAGCGAAUCAUGUUACUUAAUUUUUAGCUAUAUGUCAACCUAACAGUUUGUGGUUUAUUUUUGACUGCUGUAGCUGAUACACUUGGGUUCACUACUUACCCUGCUGCAUAUUUGAGCCCACAAGCAUCAGGCAACAAUCUCCUUAUUGGUACUAAUUUUGCCUCUGCCGCUGCUGGCUACGAUGAUAAAACAGCCAUCCUCAACGUAAGUCUUACAACCACACCGUUUCCUAUGUAAUAAUUGUCAGUAAAUAAAUAUCGUUAAAAGUAAUGACUUGUUAGUAGCAGUAAUUGGUGUAUCACGUUCUUGGAUACAGCAGAAGAUAGUGAAUUGCCACUUUUUAUUAUGGCUAAAGACCUUUUCUGUUGUUGACAAUUGGGGCUAACUAUUUCGAUAAAUCUUGGUGAUGCAGCAUGCAAUUCCGUUGUCAACACAGAUGCAGUAUUACAAGGAGUACCAAUCCAAGCUAGCAAAAGUUGCAGGCAGUCAAAAAGCAGCAUCUAUCCUAAAGGAUGCACUCUACCUACUAAGUGCAGGAAGCAGUGAUUUCUUACAGAAUUACUAUAUUAAUCCUUAUAUUAACAAAAUCUAUACUCCUGAUCAGUAUGGUUCUUAUCUUGUCGGCAUAUUCACUAGCUUUGUUAAGGUUAGUUUUUUGCUUCUAAUUAAUGUUUUUUAGUUAGAGUAAUACUAAUAAAUAGUAGGGCUGAAUCCAACUUAAGUAGGUGAAAACCAGUCAUAUCAAUAAAUGACUCACGAUUGAACAUGUCUAAAAGUUACUUCCCAUUUGUGUGGUGGCAUGGAAAGAAUUUGGAGAUUCAAAUUUUUGAACUUUGGCUAUGAAUUCGGACAUAGAAAUUUUAAAUUAUUUUUAAAAUGAAAUUUAUAUAUUUGAGAAUGACGUAAAAAGUAUUUUAAACUAUUUUACCAACAUAUAAAAAACAAAUUGGGAUUUUCACAAUACUUAGCAACUAAAAAUAUUUUAAAACAUAUAGAGGUAUUCCAAUCAAAGAAGAACAUGGUUAACUUUAAAAAAAAUAAUUAUGCCACAUAAAUUGGGAUAAAGAUACUAUACGUGUCAAAAUGGGUUGGAUCAUGACUGAUAUAAGAAUAAAGUUUACAGAAUAUUUUACACUAUCAUGUAAACUUGACUUGCUAUUACACGUUACCCCCCAAUUAUUUAUUUAAAAAUUAAAUAACCUGCGAUAACAAAUCAAGUUUACUUCAUAGCUUAGAAUAUUUUGUAUGCUAAUAUGCACGAAACUUAAAUUCUUAAGAAUAUUGAGUCAAAGACCAAAGCAGCUCAAUAUGAUCCAACCUCCCCUUCUUUUUAAUUUGCUUUUAGAAAGGGGAAAAGGAAAAAGAAGUCUGAGCUAAUGUAUGUUUUUUUCCUAAAAUCAUUAGUUUAAAUUCUCCCAAAUUCGCAUAUUUCUUGUUCUCCAAAUUUUAUUUUGUAUAUUUGGAUUAAUCUUGCAUUGCAGCUCAUCUAUUUGACCCGUUUUACCCUAAUAUUUUGAUGGAUCAUUUCAAAUUCAACCUGGGCUGUGCGAAAUAAUAUACAGUCCUUAUCAAUCCACGAUUAAUAAUUAUGCAAAUCAGGAUUUGUAUGGGCAAGGAGCAAGGAGAAUUGGAGUGACCUCAUUGCCACCAUUGGGCUGUCUACCAGCUGCUAGAACAUUGUUCGGGUUCCAUGAGAGUGGAUGUGUCUCAAGGAUCAAUACAGAUGCCCAACAAUUCAACAAGAAGAUUAAUUCAGCUACAGCACAAUUGCAAAAGCAAUACCCUGACCUCAAAAUCGCUAUAUUUGACAUU
This 2483-nucleotide long non-coding RNA is filed under the name Capsicum annuum. Its description in RNAcentral is "long non-coding RNA (CANN_LNC003905)". Lineage: Eukaryota; Viridiplantae; Streptophyta; Magnoliopsida; Solanales; Solanaceae. The record is from RNAcentral.